Molecule: ribosomal RNA, 215 nt
Filed under: uncultured bacterium
Lineage: Bacteria
Description: partial 16S ribosomal RNA
Rfam family: Bacterial small subunit ribosomal RNA
Source: RNAcentral
ACUCAGUUCAGAUUGCAGGCCGCAACCCGCCUGCAUGAAGUCGGAAUUGCUAGUAAUCGCGGAUCAGCAUGCCGCGGUGAAUACGUUCCCGGGCCUUGUACACACCGCCCGUCACACCAUGGGAGCCGGGAAUGCCCGAAGUCGGUAGCCUAACCGUAAGGAGGGCGCCGCCGAAGGUGGGAUUGAUGACUGGGGUGAAGUCGUAACAAGGUACC